CUUGUCCCAACAGAACUUUCCCUUAGCAGGGCCAGAAGAAAAAUUGAUGUGGCAUACCCCUCCAAACUCUGGCAUGUUAUCUUCAGCUGAAGGACAUUUUCCAUGGUCAUUUGCAUGAUCAACUUCAACUUGCUCAAUAUUUCCACCAUCUCCAACUGUUAUGUGAACAGGACCGCAGUGGUCCAAUGAAUAAUUAUAGACUCUAUUCAUCCGCUCGUAAGCAUGCACAUGACCAGAAAAAACAAUGUCAACACGGUAUUGAUA
Molecule: unclassified non-coding RNA, 264 nt
Filed under: Hevea brasiliensis (rubber tree)
Lineage: Eukaryota; Viridiplantae; Streptophyta; Magnoliopsida; Malpighiales; Euphorbiaceae
Source: RNAcentral